Molecule: long non-coding RNA, 235 nt
Filed under: Brassica napus (rape)
Lineage: Eukaryota; Viridiplantae; Streptophyta; Magnoliopsida; Brassicales; Brassicaceae
Description: long non-coding RNA (BNAP_LNC011154)
Source: RNAcentral
UGAUCAUGUAAGCUAUUUUCAUAAGACAAGAGAAGUGAGCAGGUGAAGAUGUUGUUGCCGCCUUUGUGUUUGUUCGGAUUGUCUUUCGUAUCUCCUGGUGUGGUUGUGUUUGUUUCACUUUUAUUUGAUGGGUAAUAUGUAAACAAAAAUCAUUGCUAGUUGUAUUUAUCAGCGUUUGUAACUUACUCUGCUUUUUUUAAAGGUAAUUUCACUGAUAUUGGUUGUCGUCAUCUUC